RNAcentral lists this long non-coding RNA (191 nucleotides) under Astyanax mexicanus (Mexican tetra). RNAcentral describes it as "lncRNA (ENSAMXG00005022190.1)". The record is from RNAcentral. Lineage: Eukaryota; Metazoa; Chordata; Actinopteri; Characiformes; Acestrorhamphidae.
AGACUGGUUAUGGCAGCAGUGUAGGUUGUACUUGAUAUGAGAAAGAUGUCAAGAAGUGACAACUCUCCCUUUAUUCACACGUUGGCAGACUGAUUGAGAUCUCUCAAAGGACAGUGAAAUCUAUCCACAGUAGAACCAGGUGGGUCAGUAGAAUGGACAGCGAACAGGGCCAAGAGUGUAAGAAGACAGUG